CCCGUGUGUUUCUCUUCUCUCCCUGCUCCGCAUGGGCAAAGUUCACCUCCCAGCUCUUCAGGUCCUCCUACUUCUCACAGAGGUUGUUCCCACACAGAAAGUGGCCUUCAAAACACAGUGUCAAUACAAUAGAGACAUUAUUCAACUGCAUUGCCAUUCAUUGUAGAGAAAUUUAGAGCGUCAGAUUAAGGUAUUACUGUAUAGUGUAAAAACACUGUACUUGCAUGACUGUACCUCCAACCCUGCAUCUGGGCAGGUUUGGUUAAUGAGAACAGGCUGGAGGGAAAUCAUUUUCAGGUAUAUGAAGUUUAUUCCUUAUUUUGAGGACACCAUGCAGAUACAUAGGAUAGUCUGCAAUGCGAGAAAUGCCUAUGUAAAGCUCAACAAGGGUGUGUUCUCCUGUGCCAUUCAUUAUGACAUUGUUCACUAAUAAUCAAGCUCAAUGGGAGGAACAUGUACAUGGGUAAUGUAGGAGGCAGGAACCAGGGCUGGCCAGUGGCCAUGCCUUCACCCUGAACUUAUGCAGCAGAUUAGGAGAAUUUACACACCAGGUUAGGAGAAUUUACGCACCAGGUUAGGAGAACUUACGCACCAGGUUAGGAGAACUAACGCAUCAGGUUAGGAGAACUUAUGCAGCGGGUUAGGUGAAUUAAUGCAGCGGGUUAGGAGAAUUUACCCAGCAGGUUAGGAGAAUUUACCCAGCGGGUUAGGAGAACUAACGCAGCAGGUUAGGAGAACGUACGCAGCAGGUUAGGAGAACAUACGUAGCAGGUUAGGAGAACAUACGCAGCAGGUUAGGAGAACAUACGCAGCAGGUUAGGAGAACAUACGCAGCAGGUUAGGAGAACAUACGCAGCAGGUUAGGAGAACAUACGCAGCAGGUUAGGAGAAUUAACGUACCAGGUUAGAACUAACGCAGCAGGUUAGGAUAAUUAACAUACCAGCUUAGAAGAAUUAUGCAGCAGGUUAGGAGAAUUUACACACCAGGUUAGGAGAAUUAACGCACCAGGUUAGGAGAAUUAACGUACCAGGCUAGGAGAAUUAACGUACCAUGUUAGGAGAAUUGCUAGGAAAAGUAACUUCCGGUCGUAUUUGUACUCCAUCUAGUCACAACCUUGGGCCUCACCUUACCACAGGCUGCUGGAGGUGGCUACAUUCCAUGAGCUGCCUACUUCACAUGCAGGCUAAUUAACACAUGAUCUGCCAGACAAGAAUGAAUUCUCUCUGAUGUUGGUGGGUCAUUCAAAGAAUAGCGUCCCUUUGAUAUUUUAAGUAGGAACUGUGCAUCAAUACUGAAUUUUAAACAUUUGUUUUAUUAAAUUAAGUGACCUUUAAAAUAAAUCACAUGGAACAUUUAAUACAUCAAAAUUGUUAUAUGAAUAAAGUCUCGCUAAAGUGGCCAAAAUCUAUAUGGGACACCAUACAGGAAGGUAUGAUGAUGACUGACAUGCUUGGCAAGGUAGCCCCAGCACCACCAGACACAACGUUGAUAGGUACAGUAUCUCUGUACUUGCUCAUGGAUAUGUUAGUAGAACAGCUCUUCUAUUGUGUUUUUCUGACAUUUAGGAAGAUUAGAACCCACUUAACCCCAACAUUUCACCAUUAUUGAUUAUUUUUUUCUCUCGCCCAUCUACACACAACGUCCAAUAACGAUAGUGACAAAACAUGUUUGUAGAUAUUUUGUCAAAUCAUUUGAAAAUGAAAUACAGAAAUAUCUCAUUUACAUAUUUAGUCACACCCCUGAGUCAUUGGCAGCGAUUACAGCUGCGAGUCUUUCUGGGUAAUUCUCUAAGAGCUUUGCAAACUUGAACUGUACAAUAUUUGCACAGUAUUCUUUUUUUAAAAUUCUUCAAGCUCAGCCAUUUUCAGAUUUUCAAGCUGAUUUAAGUCAAGACUGUAACUAGGCCACUCAAGA
Oncorhynchus tshawytscha (Chinook salmon) is the source of this 1915-nucleotide long non-coding RNA. Lineage: Eukaryota; Metazoa; Chordata; Actinopteri; Salmoniformes; Salmonidae. The record is from Ensembl.